UGUGGCACAGGUGUUUUAGUGUGGUCGACCCCAAAGGAUUUCCACAUGGCCUGGUUAGGGCUACCCAUCUCGGUGGUGACAGCAAGCACAUGUAGCACUAUGGAUGUUGCCCUCUCUAUUAAUUCUGUAAUUAUUGGCUUGUAUUCUGCUCCAUUGGUAGAAUUGCCACUGUAAUGAUAUGCCACUACUUGUUUCCACCGAGUUGUGUUUGCAGCCAACAUAAACACAUAAGCAUGUGUUGCUACUCCUGUGUGUCCUGGCAAAGUGACAUCACCAUAGAGUUUGCCUGUGAGCAUGUGCAGCUCCACACUUGGAGUGAUUGCCAUUUCAUCCAAGGACAGCACACACUCCCUUUCAAGGGUUCUGAUCCCUGGCAAGGGAAUCUGCAAUUCCUGUAGGGUCUUGUAACCAGUUGGACCAGCUGCAAAGCAAAUUUUUAAUGCCUUCUUAAUUGUUUCAUUGCUCCAUUUCAUACCUUUUGUGACCCAGGUAACUGGCUGAUGGUUCACUGGAAUGCUGACUGGCUGCUGACUGACUUGCUGCUGACUGACUUGCUGCUGACUGACUUGCUGCUGGCUGACUGGGUAGUGUCACCUGUCCCUGUCUCUAGCCAUGUCCUCUAUUUCUUCACUGUCACUUUCCCUUCUCUGAGUGUCCUCAUUAUUUUUUUCCUCAACCUUUGAAACUGAUAGAGGCAGAAUACAUGGUAUUGCUAAUUUUAAAUAUUGCAAUGUCACAUCACUUCAAAAUUAGAAAUAUUACUUCAACUAGUACGAGUUUGUACUUAUUAUAUAUGUAUCACCUGUAAUACUAUAGCUGUGAUCAGCAGCGAUUUGCUGUAUGUUUAAAGGUCUAGGGGUGCAUCGUGGA
Molecule: long non-coding RNA, 870 nt
Organism: Cyprinus carpio (common carp)
Lineage: Eukaryota; Metazoa; Chordata; Actinopteri; Cypriniformes; Cyprinidae
Exons: 3
Source: RefSeq, a predicted model, not a curated record